CUGUGACUAAUGACAUGAAAAAUC
This 24-nucleotide non-coding RNA is filed under the name Rattus norvegicus (Norway rat). The record is from RNAcentral. Lineage: Eukaryota; Metazoa; Chordata; Mammalia; Rodentia; Muridae.